RNAcentral lists this long non-coding RNA (524 nucleotides) under Bos taurus (domestic cattle). Its description in RNAcentral is "long non-coding RNA NONBTAT017277". The record is from RNAcentral. Lineage: Eukaryota; Metazoa; Chordata; Mammalia; Artiodactyla; Bovidae.
UUUUUCCCCAAAAAAAGAUGAUUUUUUAUACGUACAGUUUAAAACCUGUAUGUAUAACUCCAUCCAACCAAGAUACAUUAUGUAUCAGUUAUAACCCUGAGUCACACAGCUUGCUCAUGAGCUAGAAAUAACUUCAAAGUCACAGAUAGAACACAAAAGCCAAUCACUACGAAUGGAUUAUAUAUUCUCUACUAACUAACUAACACAUAACUCCAAGGGAGGAAUCUAACUGAUAGAACUGGACACUUAAAUUGUAGAAGCCUUUUCUAUACUCUGCAACUAGAAGAAUCUCUAAAAUAAUCGUAAAAUGCAGCAUUCAUUCAUUCAACAAGCACCACGUUUCAGGCAAGAUACCAUUGAUUAGGAUAACUACUGUUCCUGUAUGAACUGCCAAGAAAAAAAAAGGAACAACUUCUAAUUAAAAGUCACACAACGACGCAGAUACAGAGAAAACAUCUGCAUCACUGUAGCCCCACGGAGCCUCAACAGCAAAAGUGUUUGUGACAUUUCUUCACGUAGGCGCU